This is a long non-coding RNA of Mustela lutreola (European mink), 868 nucleotides long. RefSeq lists it as uncharacterized. NCBI's taxonomy places the organism in Eukaryota, Metazoa, Chordata, Mammalia, Carnivora, Mustelidae. The record is from RefSeq and is a predicted model, not a curated record. The transcript is spliced from 4 exons.
CCCCCAUCCCCCGACCCAGCCCCUCAAAGUAAUAGUUCCCUUGUAUUUUAUGAUGAUAAGAAGAAAACUGCUUUCAAAAAGUGCCUGCUCCUUGCAAAACUGAUACAGAUAAACAGAAACCAAUGGCAGCAGUACUGCUUAAAAUUGCCUAAGCGGGAAGCAAAAAGGGAAGUAAUCAUAAAGACAGCAAACCUGGGUGCCUCCUGGGAUUCAAGAGCAGGACCCGGACAAAAUCUCUGGAAGGACUGAGUUGGUGAUUCAUCAGGAAGCAGGUGCCUUUGGAACAUCCAUGUGUCAACAUAAAGUUUGCUGUUGUAAAUGUUUGUCUGAAACUGAAGCUGUUGUAAAUGUUUGUCUGAAACUCAUGAAAGAGGUGCAAAAAAGGUGGUUUUAUUAAAGCAUGAAGACAAGAUCCAUGGGCAGAAAGAGCUGCUAAACCAAACAUAUUUUGCAGUUACAGAAACUGAAGAAUGCUUCAGAUAAGUAAGCUGAGGUAUUUUUUGUUUUGGUUUGGUUUAUAUUUUUUUCUUAUUCUCUAGGAAGAUUCUUUUACUUUAUUAGUCUCUGAAUGGUACAUAUUAUAUUUUCAAAGGGGUUAUUUUAGAGUCUGUUCAGAGCCAGUGAUCAAAGACAAUGUGGUUGUGGUUUAUGAGGUAUGGGAAGAGAUGCUGUGUUAGUGGGUUUCCAAUGGCUACUGAGUGGAACAUCCUUAAAGAAUUGAUAAAGCCACUCACUGUCCUUUUAGCAGUUGUCAGCACCAUAACAGGUAUGGAGAAAGGGAAAACCAACAGAAAGCUGCUACCAACCUGGGUGUGGCUCAGUCCAGAAUUGUGCAUUGUUUUGAGUGCUUGUCUUUAGGAAUAUCAAG